UAGAUACCCUAUUAUUUGAAAUGUAAUUUGUUUACUUAAGUAGUAAUAGUUAUGUUCUUGRAACUUAAAAAAUUUGGCGGUAUUUUAGUCUAUUCAGAGGAACCUGUCCUAUAAUCGAUAAUCCACGUUGGACCUUACUUAAAUUUGUUGUCAGUAUGUAUACCGUCGUUAUAAGAAUAUUUUAUAAGAAUAAUAAUUUUCUAGAUUUUUUAUAAAAAUUUAUAUCAGAUCAAGGUGCAGCUUAUAUUUAAGAAGAGAUGGGUUACAAUAAUAUUAUUUAUACGAAUUAAUUUUUGAAACAGAAUUAUGAAGGUGGAUUUGAAUGUAAAAUUAUAUAGAUUAAUAAUUUGAUUUUAGCU
This 359-nucleotide ribosomal RNA is filed under the name Themira leachi. RNAcentral's name for it is "partial 12S ribosomal RNA". The record is from RNAcentral. Lineage: Eukaryota; Metazoa; Arthropoda; Insecta; Diptera; Sepsidae.